UUUUCAGUUGGGCAAAUGGGUUAGGAUAACCAAGAUCUGACAUGAAGCUUUGGGAUGAAAAAAGGGAAGAGAACUUUGCUAGCUUGUUGCAAAUUUCUGCCGACACCUUUGCAACUUUUAAACUAUUUUCUCUCUGCCUUGUUUCUAGUUAUCAACUUGCAAGAACUCUUCCGUCACAUAUGGAAGACACUGCAACUUCUGAAGAUGAUUCUGAAGACUGAUGCUUGUAGAACUUUCAUACUGUAAGAAACAAAUGGAAUUGCUGCAGAAAUGCUGAACUGGGAAGAACAACAUCAACAGGCAUUUGUUUUUUUUUCCUCUCCUUAGUAAAAACCACAUUGAAUAUUACUGUACUUCUUGAGGAAUUGUUGAAUUAAAAAUCAACUACUGCACAGUGGAACUCAGUGGACUUGAGUUCCACGGUGCACUGGACUUGAACUCCUCAGCAUGUGUGAGGAUUAGAUACAUCGAAAACAACUUCCCUUUUUAAAUGAUGAGGAUGUUGUGCUUUAUUUUGGAAGACAUUGGAUUCUGAAUAUUUAAGGAAGCUCUAUCUCCCUUUGUGUUUUCUUCUUACUGUAGUCAGACUUCUGGCUUUGUCUUACUGAGUUUUGCUCCUGUACUGGCACUAAGUGGUUAUAGGGGGUUUCAGGGGGACGGUGAAGACGCCUGUGUACUUAACCAGGUUUUUUUGGGUGUUCUUAAAUGCCUCUUUUGCUGCAUCCUAUAACUGAUGCUUCCAUUGUUAAUGAAUGAACAGGAGGAUAAGCAAGAUACCAUAGAGACUGUUUGGGUUUAGGCUUAUUUGAAGAUUAUUUUUUAAUCCAAAAAGCAAUAAGAACUUGCAGUUGUCUUUUAAUACUUGGUGAUGGCUUUUUUAUGGCAGUUUGUGAAUCUGAGAUUAUAUUUAAUAUCAAGUGGCUGUUCCAUUAUGGAAUAUUGCAGGUGUCAACUCUAGCAUUUCAAUAUUCCUAGCAGAUAUGCAACUUGAUAAAGACCUAAGGUUGUUUAGUUUAAUCAGACUUGUUUUAGAUCCCACCUUCACUGUUCAAAGCACCGGUUAUCAAUGUGUUUUCUAGUGUUAUAAUUUCUUUAUAACUGAAGACAGAAGAAGUAUGCAUCUCUACCGGUAUUGUCCAUUUCAUUUAAACAUGGAUAUCUACCAGAACUUAUACCUGAAAACAUAGAAAGCUGUAGUCUGUGGUAUAUCUGUACUAACAUUUAUAAGUUCUUACCCAGAUUGUUCUGACCUUUUUGGAUUGAAAUGCUUUCUAUAAAUGGUGGUAUAAUAAAUUCUUAUAAGUGUAUUGGAAUUGUACUUCC
RNAcentral lists this long non-coding RNA (1323 nucleotides) under Serinus canaria (Common canary). RNAcentral's name for it is "lncRNA (ENSSCAG00000002004.1)". The record is from RNAcentral. Lineage: Eukaryota; Metazoa; Chordata; Aves; Passeriformes; Fringillidae.